This is a non-coding RNA of Callorhinus ursinus (northern fur seal), 917 nucleotides long. The record is from the annotation of a RefSeq genome assembly. Lineage: Eukaryota; Metazoa; Chordata; Mammalia; Carnivora; Otariidae.
GCUGAGACCUGAGAGCAGCUGCACUCUGACCAUGGCUUUGCAGAGCACUCUGGAAGCAGUGUGGCUGGGGGUCCUCCUCAGCUCUCCCUGGAAGGUUGCAGAGGGCAAGGACCAAGUGCUUCAGCCUUCCGCCGUCUCUGCUUCGGAGGGCUCUGUGGUGGAAAUCUCCUGCAAUCACUCUAUAUCCACUGCUUACAACUUCUUCUGGUACCUUCACUUCCCAGGAAGGGCUCCAAGACUCCUGAUUAAGGGCUCAGGGCCUUCUCAGCAGGGACGCUACAACAUGACAUAUGAGCGAUUCUCGUCUUCGCUGCUCAUCCUCCAAGUGCAGGUGGCAGAUGCUGCCAUUUACUACUGUGCUCUGGAGGGCACAGAGGCACUGAGCCUAUGAAGAGCUGAACAGAAACAGGGAGGGUCACAGCCUUUGCAGGAGGUGGAAAAGAGAUGAGCAAUAACUGCUCUCCUCCCCAAGCAUCUCCAUUCGGCACUAUCAGAAAACAUUUUGAGCGCAGACACACUGUACAUGAGCAAAUGUACAUAAGAAAAUAUGCUUCUAAGGAGUGAAUCAAUAAGCGUGCUGUAAAUCUGCAUUUCAAAUAGUUUUCUUGAUGAUUGAAACAUUCUUGAUGAAUUUCUUUUGAGAUCUGACUACUAGAUUAUUUUUGCUUUUAAAUGGCAUCUGCUAGCUUCAGUCUCUUUGCAGGAGUAUUAUCAAGACACAUGUCCAUCUUGUAAAGAAUAGUUUUGUUGACACUGGAUAAUAUCAUAAGAAGCUGAAAGGAAUCAAUGAGUGAGAAACUCUACCAACAGCCAUGAGUGUGGAACCUCAAUCCUUCCAUCAGGAUAUCUUGUGAAGAAAGUACAAUUUUCUUAGUUGGAUUGUAUUCCUUGUCAGAAUUUCAUAUAAAAAAUGCUGA